Molecule: non-coding RNA, 73 nt
Organism: Marmota monax (woodchuck)
Lineage: Eukaryota; Metazoa; Chordata; Mammalia; Rodentia; Sciuridae
Source: the annotation of a RefSeq genome assembly
UGGGAUGUAGCUCAGUGGUAGAGCUUCUUUCCUGGCAUGGAGAAGGACCUGGGUUCAAUUCCCAGCACCAUAA